This 443-nucleotide ribosomal RNA is filed under the name uncultured bacterium. RNAcentral's name for it is "partial 16S ribosomal RNA". It matches the Rfam family "Bacterial small subunit ribosomal RNA", at positions 338 to 795 of the family's 1533-position model. The record is from RNAcentral.
CCUACGGGGGGCUGCAGUGGGGAAUAUUGGACAAUGGGGGGAACCCUGAUCCAGCGACGCCGCGUGAGUGAAGAAGUAUUUCGGUAUGUAAAGCUCUAUCAGCAGGGAAGAAAGAAAUGACGGUACCUGACUAAGAAGCCCCGGCUAACUACGUGCCAGCAGCCGCGGUAAUACGUAGGGGGCAAGCGUUAUCCGGAUUUACUGGGUGUAAAGGGAGCGUAGACGGCGAUGCAAGUCUGAAGUGAAAGGCGGGGGCCCAACCCCCGGACUGCUUUGGAAACUGUAUGGCUGGAGUGCAGGGGAGGUAAGUGGAAUUCCUAGUGUAGCGGUGAAAUGCGUAGAUAUUAGGAGGAACACCAGUGGCGAAGGCGGCUUACUGGACUGUAACUGACGUUGAGGCUCGAAAGCGUGGGGAGCAAACAGGAUUAGAUACCCUUGUAGUC